UACGUAGGGCCCGAGCGUUGUCCGGAAUCAUUGGGCGUAAAGAGCGUGUAGGCGGCUCUUUAAGUCCUGCGUGAAAUCCUGCGGCUCAACCGCAGACGGUCGUGGGAAACUGGAUGGCUAGAGUGCGGGAGAGGAGAGUGGAAUUCCCGGUGUAGCGGUGAAAUGCGCAGAUAUCGGGAAGAACACCCGUGGCGAAGGCGGCUCUCUGGAACGCAACUGACGCUGAGACGCGAAAGCGUGGGGAGCAAACAGG
This 253-nucleotide ribosomal RNA is filed under the name uncultured bacterium. RNAcentral's name for it is "partial 16S ribosomal RNA". It matches the Rfam family "Bacterial small subunit ribosomal RNA", at positions 524 to 776 of the family's 1533-position model. The record is from RNAcentral.